UUAUUAUAAUAGUGAAGGUGAACGUGCUGCUACUUCCCUCAUUCCCAACAUGAAUCAAGUACCUGCAUUGAGUAAUGCAAGAGUGAGAUGAUACAUCUCAGCAAGCAAAUUGUUUUGACGAGAUAUUUAAACCACAAAUUGAAUUAAACAACAUUUUAAAGGAAUCACAAUUGAGAUCAGAAAUACUUGUAGAUACAGAACUCAAUAGUCCCAAUAUAACCAAUACCAUCUCAUUUCCUCGAACAACCACAAUAGGUUGUAUAACCCUUCCCUGCGUCAACAAUACCUGCACAUAUCACUUCAAUAUAUGCAUAGGAAUGCAAUGUGUAGGUCAUCUGCCCUCAUACCUUUGAGAGUAUAAAACCACAUCAUCUGCUAAUAUCACUUUAAUGAAUGCAUAUAAAUGCAAUGCAUAUGUCCUCUGCCUUCAUACCUCUAAGGGUAUGAAGCCGCAUCGUACCCCUCCUCGGGCAACGUACGAUGCUAAGUUGUACCGGUACGGUCGGACCAUAGGUCACGACCAAACUUCAGAUGCAAAUGAAUCAUGUAAUGCAUAUGGCAUGCUGCAUUUAUAAAUACACUUCACUUCCUUCAGAUACAAAACAAACCUCAAAUAAUACUUCAUCUGUCUUCAGAUACGAUACAAACCUCAAAUAAUACUUUAUCUGCCUUCACGGGUGUAAAUUAAUCUCAUGGGUCAUACUCGAACCAUAAUCAUCAUCAAUAUAUGAUUGAGCAUCAGUAUAAUACAAUCAAGUAAAGCAUCACCAUAGAGUUCAAUUAUGAUAGAAUUCCAUAAUUCUGAAUAUUAGAGUGUAGGCGAUAAAAAAACAACAAGUCAAAACGGUAGAAACCACUGCUACAUUCACUUGCCUUCAUCGAGGAAGAAAGAUGUACUAGGCAUGAUCCGGAGUGUAGCCACCUGCUAGCGGGCAUAAAAUUUAGUACAAAUAUUUCACAAACAUUUGCCAACAAUCAACAAAUCGCUCCGACACUUGAAACCAAGACCCGGUGGAAAGACUCCCACCCUGAACCACAUGUCAAACAGCAGCAGCACUGUUUGUUAAUUUUGUAUCUUUAAAAUUAUAACAGUGGUGAUAUUAAACAAAUACUCUAGGAGUGUAUACACAAAAUACUCUACAACUUCAGUAUUCAAUGGAUAAUUAAAUUAUGCCAUCUAUAAGUUCUAAAACAUCUGAUAAGAUAAAUGUCUGAAUCUGUUUCAGACAGCAGCAUAGUUAACUUCAAAAUUCAAUAUCUACCAAACUACUCAACCAAAAAUUAUGCAAUUCUGCUGGCAGUAAGAACUUUUAUCCCUCUACAAAUGUCUCCAUAGUUGGAACAGCCAAUUCGGCUAUUUACUAUAUGAAACCCACCAGUGAACAGACCCGCUCAUUUUUGUCAGGCAAACAGGAACAGCCACAGUAAAACAAACAUAACUGGAGUUUCAUAAUUCAUAUGAAUGCGCUCUUUAACAAUCUGGAAAGCUUAUAAAAUUGUCUACAACUUCUUUUACAAUCCUAAAGUUUAAUUAUGUAGAUAAAAUUGCCUAAAUCUUAAGAGAACAGAUUCUGCACAGAAUUAUGAGACUGAAAAACUGCUAUAAUCAAACUGCAAUAACUUUCUGAUCUGAUGUCCGAUUGAGGUGUUCUUCGCGGCCACGGAAAGAUAUACAAAUUAUCUACGACUCAUAGACAGACGUUUUAUUUUUUUGAGGCCACUAAGAUCACGGAAAACUGGCAUGAACAGAAACUGUUGAAUCUGCCAUCCUGCAGAAACUAAUUUCGAGAUCAAAAUCUAAUCUCCCAUCUAAUCCAACCAAAAAAACUAAUUGCAGGGCCUAAAACUCAUCCAAAACAAGAGAAAGCAUUCAUCAAGUGGAGAAAAGAGAGAGAGGAAAGGAAAUCCAACCAAUUCUUGGAGAGGAACGACGAUGAUGAGUGACGGUAUGCCCUCAUCUCCCCUCUCUUCUCUUCUUUUUUCUUCAUCUCAUCUCUUGGGGCAAGGCACAAAAGGGUGACGGCUGCUAGG
Molecule: long non-coding RNA, 2031 nt
Filed under: Zea mays
Lineage: Eukaryota; Viridiplantae; Streptophyta; Magnoliopsida; Poales; Poaceae
Description: long non-coding RNA (ZMAY_LNC004295)
Source: RNAcentral